GAUGGUGGAGUAGGGGAGGUCCUACCCGCAGAUGUAGGCUGGUUCCCACCGGAACGACACUUGCACCGACCCGUAUUGGGCAAUAAUUCUACAAGAGAUAUCAUAUAUAUAGAUCUGGACGUCCCGUUGUCAAAAUCAGACAAUCCAGGUCUAUAUCUGGAUCCAAAUGGUCCGCUGUCAACGUCGACCAUCCAGGUCUAUAUCUGGAUCCAAAUGGUCCGCUGUCAACGUCGGACCAUCCAGGUCUAUAUCUGGAUCCAAAUGGUCCGCUGUCAAAGUCGGACCAUCCAGGUCUAUAUCUGGAUCCGAAUCUGCCAUCAAGAGCGGGUGCAUACACAUAAUAUGAUGGUGGUGGCCUUUUUGGUAGUAGUGCGUUUCUUGAAGGUGGUGGAGGUGGUGGUGGCCUUUUUGGUACUAGUGUAUCUCUUGA
This 430-nucleotide long non-coding RNA is filed under the name Fragaria vesca (wild strawberry). Its description in RNAcentral is "long non-coding RNA (FVES_LNC003424)". Lineage: Eukaryota; Viridiplantae; Streptophyta; Magnoliopsida; Rosales; Rosaceae. The record is from RNAcentral.